This 80-nucleotide ribosomal RNA is filed under the name Burkholderia cenocepacia. RNAcentral describes it as "partial 16S ribosomal RNA". It matches the Rfam family "Bacterial small subunit ribosomal RNA", at positions 1 to 78 of the family's 1533-position model. Lineage: Bacteria; Pseudomonadati; Pseudomonadota; Betaproteobacteria; Burkholderiales; Burkholderiaceae. The record is from RNAcentral. RNAcentral also lists the same sequence under 2 other names.
UUGAACUGAAGAGUUUGAUCCUGGCUCAGAUUGAACGCUGGCGGCAUGCCUUACACAUGCAAGUCGAACGGCAGCACGGG